AGGGGAUCUUGUGAUUUCUUUAGCUGUUCAGAGUGAAGUCUGUACAGCUAGCACUGUAAAUCCUGCUUAGCCGAGGGAAGGCGUUAGGGUGAUAAGUCACAAAUAAUCUAUAGGUAUAGUCUCUAUAGCUGGUAUCCUUAGAUCUCUUGCCGAACGAUUGAUGACUGAUUCUGCUCUGUCUUUUACUGUAUUCGAAAUGGG
This 201-nucleotide long non-coding RNA is filed under the name Elaeis guineensis (African oil palm). RNAcentral describes it as "long non-coding RNA (EGUI_LNC056562)". The record is from RNAcentral. Lineage: Eukaryota; Viridiplantae; Streptophyta; Magnoliopsida; Arecales; Arecaceae.